AGGGCUUUAGCUUAAUUAAAGCGUUUGUUUUGCAUGCAGAAGAUGUGAGUUAAUGUCUCGCAGGCUCUA
RNAcentral lists this transfer RNA (69 nucleotides) under Lates niloticus (Nile perch). Its description in RNAcentral is "tRNA-Ala". It matches the Rfam family "tRNA". Rfam says of the family: Transfer RNA (tRNA) molecules are approximately 80 nucleotides in length. Their secondary structure includes four short double-helical elements and three loops (D, anti-codon, and T loops). Lineage: Eukaryota; Metazoa; Chordata; Actinopteri; Centropomidae. The record is from RNAcentral.